UACAGAGGCCCCAAGCGUUACUGAGAAUCACUGGGUUUAAAGGGUGCGUAGGUGGUCCGUUAAGUCUGUUGUGAAAGCCCUUGGCUCAACCAAGGAAUUGCUUCGGAUACUGGCGGACUUGAGGCUAGUAGAGGUCACUGGAACUGACGGUGGAGCGGUGAAAUGCGUAGAUAUCGUCAGGAACGCCGGUGGUGAAGACGGGUGACUGGGCUAGUUCUGACACUGAGGCACGGAAAGCGUGGGGAGCGAACGGGG
This 255-nucleotide ribosomal RNA is filed under the name uncultured bacterium. Its description in RNAcentral is "partial 16S ribosomal RNA". It matches the Rfam family "Bacterial small subunit ribosomal RNA", at positions 524 to 777 of the family's 1533-position model. The record is from RNAcentral.